GCAGGGGAUCUUAGGACCUUGCGCUGAUUGAGCGGCCGAUAUCAGAUUAGCUAGUUGGUGAGGUAAAGGCUCACCAAGGCGCCGAUCUGUAGCGGGUCUGAGAGGAUGAUCCGCCACACUGGAACUGAGACACGGUCCAGACUCCUACGGGAGGCAGCAGUGGGGAAUUUUGGACAAUGGGCGCAAGCCUGAUCCAGCCAUGCCGCGUGAGUGAAGAAGGCCUUCGGGUUGUAAAGCUCUUUCGGCCGGGAAGAAAUCGCAUGGGUUAAUACCCUGUGCGGAUGACGGUACCGGCAUAAGAAGCACCGGCUAACUACGUGCCAGCAGCCGCGGUAAUACGUAGGGUGCGAGCGUUAAUCGGAAUUACUGGGCGUAAAGCGUGCGCAGGCGGUUUGUUAAGAUAGGCGUGAAAUCCCCGGGCUCAACCUGGGAACUGCGCUUAUGACUGGCAAGCUAGAGUACGGCAGAGGGGGGUGGAAUUCCACGUGUAGCAGUGAAAUGCGUAGAGAUGUGGAGGAACACCAAUGGCGAAGGCAGCCCCCUGGGUCGAUACUGACGCUCAUGCACGAAAGCGUGGGUAGCAAACAGGAUUAGAUACCCUGGUAGUCCACGCCCUAAACGAUGUCAACUAGGUGUUGGGAGGGUAAAACCUUUUAGUACCGGAGCUAACGCGUGAAGUUGACCGCCUGGGGAGUACGGCCGCAAGGUUAAAACUCAAAGGAAUUGACGGGGACCCGCACAAGCGGUGGAUGAUGUGGAUUAAUUCGAUGCAACGCGAAAAACCUUACCUACCCUUGACAUGUCCAGGAGCCCGGAGAGAUUUGGGUGUGCCCGAAAGGGAACUGGAACACAGGUGCUGCAUGGCUGUCGUCAGCUCGUGUCGUGAGAUGUUGGGUUAAGUCCCGCAACGAGCGCAACCCUUGUCGUUAAUUGCCAUCAUUUAGUUGGGCACUUUAACGAGACUGCCGGUGACAAACCGGAGGAAGGUGGGGAUGACGUCAAGUCCUCAUGGCCCUUAUGGGUAGGGCUUCACACGUCAUACAAUGGUCGGUACAAAGGGUUGCCAAGCCGCGAGGUGGAGCCAAUCCCAGAAAGCCGAUCGUAGUCCGGAUUGCAGGCUGCAACUCGCCUGCAUGAAGUCGGAAUCGCUAGUAAUCGUGGAUCAGCAUGUCACGGUGAAUACGUUCCCGGGUCUUGUACACACCGCCCGUCACACCAUGGGAGCGGGUUCCGCCAGAAGUAGGUAGCCUAACCGCAAGGGGGGCGCUUACCACGGCGGGGUUCGUGACUGGGGUGAAGUCGAAACAAGGUA
This 1312-nucleotide ribosomal RNA is filed under the name metagenome. Its description in RNAcentral is "bacterial SSU rRNA". It matches the Rfam family "Bacterial small subunit ribosomal RNA", at positions 202 to 1498 of the family's 1533-position model. The record is from RNAcentral.